GCUCAGUUGGUUAAGCGUCCGACUCUUGAUUUUGACUCAGGUCACGAUAUCAUGAGUUCGUGGGUUCAAGCCCCACAUUGGGCU
This 84-nucleotide transfer RNA is filed under the name Felis catus (domestic cat). It matches the Rfam family "tRNA". Rfam says of the family: Transfer RNA (tRNA) molecules are approximately 80 nucleotides in length. Their secondary structure includes four short double-helical elements and three loops (D, anti-codon, and T loops). Further hydrogen bonds mediate the characteristic L-shaped molecular structure. tRNAs have two regions of fundamental functional importance: the anti-codon, which is responsible for specific mRNA codon recognition, and the 3' end, to which the tRNAs corresponding amino acid is attached (by aminoacyl-tRNA synthetases). tRNAs cope with the degeneracy of the genetic code in two manners: having more than one tRNA (with a specific anti-codon) for a particular amino acid; and 'wobble' base-pairing, i.e. permitting non-standard base-pairing at the 3rd anti-codon position. Lineage: Eukaryota; Metazoa; Chordata; Mammalia; Carnivora; Felidae. The record is from Rfam by way of RNAcentral.